Molecule: ribosomal RNA, 1444 nt
Filed under: Mycoplasmopsis gallinarum
Lineage: Bacteria; Bacillati; Mycoplasmatota; Mycoplasmoidales; Metamycoplasmataceae
Description: bacterial SSU rRNA
Rfam family: Bacterial small subunit ribosomal RNA
Source: RNAcentral
GAUGAACGCUGGCUGUGUGCCUAAUACAUGCAUGUCGAGCGAAGUUCUUCGGAACUUAGCGGCAAAUGGGUGAGUAACACGUACUCAACGUACCUCUUAGAUUGGGAUAGCAGUUGGAAACAACUAUUAAUAACAAAUACGUAUAAUUUUCGCAUGAAGAUUAUAUAAAAGUAGCGUUUUGCUACACGUAAGAGAGCGGGGGUGCGUAACAUUAGUUAGUUGGGUGAGGUAAUGGCUCACCAAGACGAUGAUGUUUAGCGGGGUUGAGAGACUGAACCGCCGACACUGGGACUGAGAUACGGCCCAGACUCCUACGGGAGGGCAGCAGUAGGGAAUAUUCCACAAUGAACGAAAGUUUGAUGGAGCGACACAGCGUGCAGGAUGAAGGCCCUAUGGGUUGUAAACUGCUGUGGAAGAGAAGAAAAAACCGAGGAGGAAAUGCCUUGGUCUUGACGGUAUCUUAUUAGAAAGCAACGGCUAACUAUGUGCCAGCAGCCGCGGUAAUACAUAGGUUGCAAGCGUUAUCCGGAAUUAUUGGGCGUAAAGCGUCUGUAGGUUGUUUGUUAAGUCUGAUGUUAAAUUUUGGGGCUCAACCCCCAACACGCAUUGGAUACUGGCAUACUAGAGUUAUGUAGAGGUUAAUGGAAUUCCUUGUGAAGCGGUGGAAUGCGUAGAUAUAAGGAAGAACACCAAUAUGGCGAAGGCAGUUAACUGGGCAUACACUGACAACUGAGAGACGAAAGCAGUGGGGAGCAAACAGGAUUAGAUACCCUGGUAGUCCACGCCCUAAACGAUGAUCAUUAGCUGAUGGGGAACUCAUCGGCGCAGCUAACGCAUUAAAUGAUCCGCCUGAGUAGUACGUUCGCAAGAAUAAAACUUAAAGGAAUUGACGGGGGAUCCGCACAAGCGGUGGAGCAUGUGGUUUAAUUUGAGGAUACGCGUAGAACCUUACCCACUCUUGACAUCUUCUGCAAAGCUAUAGAGAUAUAGUGGAGGUUAACAGAAUGACAGAUGGUGCAUGGUUGUCGUCAGCUCGUGUCGUGAGAUGUUCGGUUAAGUCCUGCAACGAGCGCAACCCUUGUCCUUAGUUACUAACAUUAAGUUGAGCACUCUAAGGAGACUGCCCGAGUAAUUGGGGAGGAAGGUGGGGACGACGUCAAAUCAUCAUGCCUCUUACGAGUGGGGCAACACACGUGCUACAAUGGUCGGUACAAAGAGAAGCAAACUGGUGACAGGGAGCAAACCUCAAAAAACCGAUCUCAGUUCGGAUUGUAGUCUGCAACUCGACUACAUGAAGUCGGAAUCGCUAGUAAUCGUAGAUCAGCUACGCUACGGUGAAUACGUUCUCGGGUCUUGUACACACCGCCCGUCAAACCAUGGGAGCUGGUAAUGCCCGAAGUCGGUUUAUAAACAAACUGCCUAAGGCAGGACUGGUGACUGGGGU